Octopus bimaculoides (California two-spot octopus) is the source of this 3630-nucleotide unclassified non-coding RNA. The record is from RefSeq and is a predicted model, not a curated record. Lineage: Eukaryota; Metazoa; Mollusca; Cephalopoda; Octopoda; Octopodidae.
UGGCCAUGCUGGAGCAACACCUUUAGUCAAGCAAAUGGACCCCAGGACUUAUUCUUUGUAAGCCUAGUACUUAUUCUACCGGUCUCUCUCGCCGAACCGCUAAGUUACGGAGAUGUAAACGCACCAGCAUCGGUUGUCAAGCGAUGUUGGGCGGGGUGGGGGGCAAACACAGACACACACACAGAAAUAUAAAAAAAUACAUAUACUAUAUACGACAGGCUUCUUUCAGUUUCCGUCUACCAAAUCCACUCACAAGGCUUUGGUCGGCCCGAGGCUAUAGUAGAAGACACUUGCCACGCAGUGGGACUGAACCCGGAACCAUGUGGUUGGUAAGCAAGCUAUUUCCUACACAUCCACUCCUAUGACAAGAUAUGAUGGACUUCUUUUAGUUUUCGUCUACCAAAAAUUCAUUCAUAAGGCUUUGGUCGGCCUAUGGCUAUAGCAGAAGACUCUUGCCCAAGGUGACAUGCAGUGGGACUGAACCAAGAACCAUGUGGUUGUGAAGCAAGCUCCUUGCUACACAUUCACAUCUUACAUAUGCUGAGUUCUUUGUUAAAUGUCACCAACGAAAAAUUUUAAAACUCUGUAAUAGUUCCGAAGACAUUUUAAUUUUUGCUAGCAACGUUUUCUCGCGAUGAAUAGAUGAUAGACUUGACAAAAAAAAACGAAACAAAUUCGCUAUGAAUAGAUUAGGGGAAAUACGCGGUCGUCGUGUGUGUAUGUGUAUGUUCGUAAAUAGAUAUUCAUAUGCAUGUCUAUGUGUGUAAAACCACACACAAACGCAUAUAUAUAUAUGCUUCCAGUGAACAUAAAUACACAACAUAACAGUAUAUCUAACUAGCCGGUUUUCUACUAUAUACAUAAACAUUUUCAGAACUAUUUUUAUGUGUAUUUUAUUCAUUUAUCUAUUUUUUUUAAACAUUCAAAGAAAGAUUUAAUGCUUUCGAACCGGCACUCUGCAAUGUUUUCAAAAGAAAAUAUUUGCUCGGAGGUCUGGAACACAUCGCCUAUUCCGUUUCGAAAGGGGAUCUUUCAUUUUCCUUCUUCACCAUACAGUUCAAAAUGAUGGAAAGGAGCUUUCCAUGGAAACCUUUUUGAAAAUAUAUGAUUUUUUAAACACCCUCACCUCGCCGUAUGUGUCCAUUUAUGUACAUUAUGCAUGAACACACACCAACUUGCGCGUAACUAUUUAUUUUUCAGAUUUUUUUUUUUUUUUAGUAUUAAGCACUUAAAAACAAUAAGAGGCUCUUUUUUAAAAGAAAAAUUCCUAAAAUCUAUAAUUUUGGAAGUGUCUCCUGCUUCAGCCUCCACAAUCACCAUUAUCCAUCUGUUUUGUUUAGUUUAAACAAAAGCCUUGUAAUGCGCUCUUAAAAGCUCUUAUGCUUCUUGUUGGCUACCACUUGUUGAUUCUACCUCUCAGGGCAAUCCAAUGGUAUGUGUAUACAAGUGGAACUUCUUUUUGCUUAGGAUAAAUAUAAUAGUAACAAUAAAAACACGAGGAUGGAAAUUCAUAGAUAGAUAGAGAUAAUUCAUAAAUGAAAAGUUAAGGAAAGUAGUGAAAGGGAUGAGGACUAAUAAUUAGCAAAUUGAAAUUUUGAAUUUUUUCUUAAUCAUCUCGGAAUUCCAAUUAACUACGCACCAGACAAGUAUCCGCUCUGACUUUGCGCGCGCGCAAGCCUGUGUAUAUGUGUGUGUGUCUACAUGAAUGUGUGUAUGUGAAUGUGUCACACAUACUUAAUAAAAGUAUCAAGUGGAGAUAACUACAUUUCGUUUAUAACACUUGGGACAGCAACCGAGUGCCGCAGUUCACUCGCUGAAUUGUGUUGUAACAUUAUCCAGUUAAUAACAAUUUACUUCGAUAAAACCGAAAGAAAAAUAAUGACCAAUAUCUUUUACCAGCUCUAAUUUUUGUGAAUGUCAUACUAAUCUAUCGCAAAAUAGUUUUUGUUGUGGUUUUAAACAUAAACCUGUGAAAAAUACUGAACUGCGAUAAUUUUGGAAGUGUCUCCUGCUGCAGCCUCCACAAUCACCAUUAUCCAUCUGUUUAAAUUAAUAUAUAACUUUUUAAAAAUUACUAUUAAUUUAUUAAUCUUUAAUAAUGACCAGUGAAAGGUGUGUUAUUUCUAUGGAACAAUUUCGCCAUAAGUAUUGGCAAACCCAUCCCGAAUCGUUGAUGGAAAUGAGUAACAUUUUCUGGAGUUACCAUAAAGUAAGUGCUACCUGUCUUAGAUAUGUUGGAUUCUUCGAUAAAUAUCGUUUACAAAAUCUUUCAGAACACUUUAAUGAUACCGAAGAGAUCAUCAAUCUUGGCAUCAACAUGAAUUUUUCGUGGGAUGUUGUUGAUAGUAUAAUAAGAGAAAACAACAUGGAUAUAAAAAGAUUAGGGGAAAUUUUGUUGACAAACUAUAUUUUGGUGAGUCACGAAGGCGACGAAAAAACUGUCGAGCAGAUUGUGAAUAUAUUUUGCGAAAUCGGUAAAAAUAAUUGUGGUAUAAAAAUUGAAGAAGAUUUUCGAUGCUGGUCGCAGCAAACUUGUGACAAAUAUAAGAAAUUGGAUGAGAUCGAAAAGAAGUUCAAAGACGGUAAAACUGAAAAACAACUGAGAGUAUUUGGGUGGCAAAUGAAACACACACCCGAACGAUUCUUCGAUUAUCUUGGAAAUUUUUGUUCACUUAAAGAAUACGAUAAAGAAGUAUUUGUUGAUCUUACUAAAAAAGACUUAAAUGAUAUGGCAGUAGAAUUACUAAAAAAUGCUCCUGUUGAGUUUGCCUUUCAAUAUUUACCUUCAGCUGCUAAAUACCAUUACGAUUCCAGGUUAGUCCUUCCCUUAGAAUGGAUAGCAAUUAACCCUGAUUCUGAUAAAAAGUAUUACUCAAAUGAAAAAUUAAUGUGGCUAUUCGCCACACAUGAUUUUGAUAAAUCCAUAUUUCAUAAAUUCAUGUUACAAAACUUUCCUAAAGAAGGAGUUUUUAAGGAAUUUCUUGAAAAACAUCCGCAGAACCAAACAAUUUCCACAUUUCAAAUCCUUAUGUAUGUAUUGGGAAGUAAAUCAAGUUCAAGUUGUGACUAUACUAAAAAUAUGAAAAUUCUAAAAAUGUUUGAACCUUUUGAGAGAUUUGUUUCGCUGUUCCAGGAUAAUUGCAAAGUUGAAAAGAUGUUAGUUUUUAAAAAUAUUUCUACCCAUGACGCUUUAUUAUAUGUAAUUAUAAUUUUCCUAAUCUGCGGAUGCUUUAAAAAAAAUCCUGUUUUAUGAAUCAACCUCUAUAUAGUUCGGCGAUUCUUUAAAAGUUCUUUCAAAAUUUUUCUUAUAAAGAUAAACUGAAAAGAAACGAAAAAACUUAAAGGUGGCAUCAUCUGCCUGUUAAGAAAUCCUUAUAUUGAUUACCACUUAUUAUUCAGCUGCUAAAUAGGAAACGAGUCUGACUGAGGAUAAUCCUUCGCUGCAUCAGAGUAAACCUGGAUUUUGUGUUGGAUUUCCACCGUAUUACCGAAGUGGUAGUUAUUCGAAAGUCAAAUUGGCUCAAAACUCUAACAAAACUUCUUUAAAAGUGGCAGUGAAAAUUGUCAACCUUUCAAAAGCACCAGGCGAUUUCCUGAAACGGUUUCUACCUCGUGAAUUAGAAAUAUGGC